GAUCUGGCUCAGGAUGAACGCUGGCGGCGUGCUUAACACAUGCAAGUCGAACGAAGCACUCUAUUUGAUUUUCUUCGGAAAUGAAGAUUUUGUGACUGAGUGGCGGACGGGUGAGUAACGCGUGGGUAACCUGCCUCAUACAGGGGGAUAACAGUUGGAAACGACUGCUAAUACCGCAUAAGCGCACAGGAUCGCAUGAUCCGGUGCGAAAAACUCCGGUGGUAUGGGAUGGACCCGCGUCG
RNAcentral lists this ribosomal RNA (242 nucleotides) under uncultured bacterium. Its description in RNAcentral is "partial 16S ribosomal RNA". It matches the Rfam family "Bacterial small subunit ribosomal RNA", at positions 15 to 238 of the family's 1533-position model. The record is from RNAcentral.